CAGGUAGUUGGUGGGGUAACGGCCUACCAAGCCAUCGAUCCGUAGCUGGUCUGAGAGGAUGAUCAGCCACACUGGGACUGAGAUACGGCCCAGACUCCUACGGGAGGCAGCAGUGGGGAAUAUUGGACAAUGGGGGCAACCCUGAUCCAGCAAUGCCGCGUGAGUGAUGAAGGCCUUCGGGUUGUAAAGCUCUUUCGGCGGGGAAGAUGAUGACGGUACCCGCAGAAGAAGCCCCGGCUAACUUCGUGCCAGCAGCCGCGGUAAUACGAAGGGGGCUAGCGUUGUUCGGAAUUACUGGGCGUAAAGGGCGCGUAGGCGGUGCUGUAAGUCAGGCGUGAAAUCCCCGGGCUCAACCUGGGAAUUGCGCAUGAUACUGCGGCGCUGGAAUGCGGGAGAGGAUGGCGGAAUUCCCAGUGUAGAGGUGAAAUUCGUAGAUAUUUGGAAGAACACCGGUGGCGAAGGCGGCCAUCUGGCCCGUGAUUGACGC
Molecule: ribosomal RNA, 487 nt
Filed under: uncultured Alphaproteobacteria bacterium
Lineage: Bacteria; Pseudomonadati; Pseudomonadota; Alphaproteobacteria
Description: SSU rRNA
Rfam family: Bacterial small subunit ribosomal RNA
Source: RNAcentral